Molecule: ribosomal RNA, 254 nt
Filed under: uncultured bacterium
Lineage: Bacteria
Description: partial 16S ribosomal RNA
Rfam family: Bacterial small subunit ribosomal RNA
Source: RNAcentral
UACGUAGGGUGCGAGCGUUGUCCGGAAUUAUUGGGCGUAAAGAGCUCGUAGGCGGUGUGUCACGUCGGCCGUGAAAACCUGCAGCUUAACUGUGGGCGUGCGGUCGAUACGGGCAUCACUGGAGUUCGGCAGGGGAGACUGGAAUUCCUGGUGUAGCGGUGAAAUGCGCAGAUAUCAGGAGGAACACCGGUGGCGAAGGCGGGUCUCUGGGCCGAUACUGACGCUCAUGCACGAAAGCGUGGGGAGCAAACAGG